AUUUGGUACCUGGCACAACUCUUCAAGGAGGUCGGCAUCAUUGAUUCCUGAAAUUUUAAGUAUUGUUCGGUGAACUUAACUCAAACAAUAAUAUGUCUAAGAACGACCAGACUACAAGUGAAGCUUAUGAUUACAGAUAAAGAAUCUAAACACUGAGUUUAAAUAUUUAAGUUCAGAACAUAAAUGUAAUCUGAUGAUGUCCAUCACAUUCCUAUGCUUCCAUGAUGAAUUAUACAUUUAAUAGCUACCAACAAGCAUAGGCAAUUAUGUAUGACAAACUAAAACAAUUUCUGCUCAACACAUGUAGUGGGUUUAACUUUUACAAUAAAGUAAAUUACAAGAUAUAUCAUAAGAAUUAAUAUCCCAAGGAGCAGAUCAUUGUACUUUUUUCGUCCAACAAAACAUGUAUGCAAGACAAGGUGUGGUGUAGCUAGGGAGUUCAAGCGAGGUGACAUGCAGUUUCGCACAAGCACGAGCUCAGAGCAAGCAAACGGAUGCAGGAAGAAGAGAGCUCACCAUGGCUCUUGUCGGUGUCAAAACCGUCGGAUCUCGGGUAGGGGGUCCCGAACUGUGCGUCUAGGCCAGAUGGUAACAGGAGACAGGGGACACUUUGUUUUACCCAGGUUCGGGACCUCUCGAUGGAGGUGCAACCCUACUCCUGCUUGAUUAAUAUUGAUGAUAUGGGUAGUACAAGAGUAGAUCUACCACGAGAUCAAGGAGGCUAAACCCUAGAAGCUAGCCUAUGGUAUGAUUGUGUAUGGAGUUGAUUCUCUACAGACUACAACCCUCCGGUUUAUAUAGACACCGGAUAGGGUUAGGGUUACACAGAGUCGGUUACAAUGGUAGGAGAUCUUUGAAUAUCGCACCGCCAAGCUUGCCUUCCACGCCAAGGAAAGUCCCCUCCGGACACGGGACGAAGUCUUCAAUCUUGUAUCUUCAUAGUCCAGGAGUCCGGCUGAAGGUAUAGUCCGGCUACCAGAACACCCCCUAAUCCAGGACUCCCUCAGUAGCCCCUGAACCAGACUUCAAUGACGACGAGUCCGGCGCGCAAAUUGUCUUCGGCAUUGCAAGGCUGGUUCCUCCUCCAAGUCCUUCAUAGAAGUUUGUAAUCACCAAGAGUAGUGUCCGGCUCUGUAAAAUAAGUUUCCACAUAUUGCUAUAGAGAGAAUAAUAUUAACACAAAUCAAAUCUGCUGACUUAUUCUGCAGUGCGCCAUCACACUACAGCCAAGUCCUUUACUUGAAUCGUUUUCACUUAUCCACCUCAGCAUGUUUUGCGAGGCGGUUUCCUUGGCACAUCUUGUCAAAGCAGAGAUCGUGUACCCUUUUUACGGGAUUCUCAUUAAUACGGAUGCGGGUAACCCAAUCGUGCCCGUUAGCAUGUUCUCUCGAUUAAAGGAGAGUCCCAAACGGUUACGGGGAGGGCUCCUGGUAUUGAACCUCUUAUAAAGAGACCAAGGCCUUACUCCUUUUUCCAAUCUCAAUUGAGUUCGCCCGUCGCCUCGAGUUCCAACACCCUAGGUUUCAGAUUCCUGGCGCUUCGGACCUUCGACAAUGUCCGGUUUCGACCUUCAAGGCCGAUGGAUGCCCUCCUCCAUCACGGAGGAGGAUGUGCUAAAGUUGAGAGAGGCUAAGUUCCUGACCGCCGAAAUUCCGCAUAGGUUGCCUGUUCAAGGGCAAGCUAUUCCCAAUCCCCAGCCCGGUGAGAGCGUAGUGUUCAUGUCUCACUUCCUUCGGGGGUUAGGCUUCCCGAUGGAUCUCUUUGUGAGGGGGCUGCUGUUCUAUUACGGGUUGGAAUUUCAUGACUUAGCUCCGGAGUCCAUCCUCCAUAUUUCCUCAUUCAUCGUUGUGUGCGAAGCGUUCCUCCGCGUUACUCCUCACUUCGGUUUAUUGCUCAAGACUUUUGAAGUGGAGCCGAAGAUGAUCGAGGGACGGCACGCAGAGUGCGGAGGUGCUGUCAUCAGCAAGAAUGCCGAUGCUCCAUGGCCCGAGGGCUCCUUUCAAGAAGAGCUCGGCUUGUGGCAACGAGAAUGGUUCUAUAUUACCGCUCCUAGGAGCGCCAAGUGGGUGGCGCCUCCUGCCUUUCGCUCGGGUCCCCCAUCACGGCUAGCGUCAUGGGUCAACAAAGGAUUAGAUUGGGGUUUGCCCAAAGACGUGCCCCUGUUACAGGGCCGAAUUAAGGAUCUCUUGGAAGGAGACCUUAAUUUGGUCAAGGUGACGCAGGUCAUGUUGAUUCGCCGAACAUUGCCCGGCAAACGUCGCCCCCUUCGUCUGUGGGAGUUUAAUCCGGAGGGACCGCGAGCUCUUCAGAAUUUUAUGGGCGCAAUGCCCGCGGAGAUGUAUAAACUAUUCUUCGGAUCACAAGAGAUGUGUCCGGAUUCAACCGAGGACGCAGGCCUAAGCUGCAAUCGCCCGGAUACUCAAGUAAGCAACCUUGUGCCCGGACCUUCUAUCCGUAUAAUCGUCGUAAACUUGCCCCUAAAAGAGCCGUCUUUUUAAAUAGGAGUGGACAGCGAAGGCGAAGCUGAUCAGGUGUCCGGCUCCCCUUCCUGAAACCAGGCCGGAUCCUGUGCUAGUCAGGAUGCUGGAGAUAAUGCCUUUGGAGGGGGAGGACAAGGAAGCUACGGCCUCCUCGAAGGAGGCUGCUCCGAAGGGAGGAACCGACAAUUCCUCUCCUAAAGGGAAGAAGAGAGCCGCCUCUGACGACCCAGAAACCAUGGCCUCAAAACAGGGGAGAAAAUCCUCGUCAGAGGGUCCGACGCCAGGGAGUUCCUUGGCCGGACUACGGCCUCAAGGGGAUCAGCCCUCCAGCGAGCCGUAAGUGGAGAAAAGAUUUUCCUUUUGAGGGAUGAGAGAAAUCCUUGAUUUUGCAUCUGAGAAGAUUUAACCGAAAUUUUACCUUGUAGCUCGGACCUCAGACCUUCGCAGCAGAGCUCGUCUUCGGGGGAUCUUCUUCCGGAGAUGAUGGAGAGCGGAACACCUCCCCCUGCCGUGCCGCCCAGCGAGGCGGGCGACCCUGAGGUGUCGUCGCGGAGGGUUUCUCUUUAUCCGGCAGGGAUGGGAGGUGGCAAUGCGGCCCCCCGAAGUCCUCCGCGUCUGGCCUUCGAAAGAGGCCAUAGGACAAGUCCGACACCAUCUGGUGCUCGACCGGAAGAACUAAAGAUUCUGUUGGGGCGAGCUUCUAUCUCAGAAGAGCACUGUGCCUUGAUGGGCAUGGUGAUUGAAAGGAUUUCAUCUGCGGAAAGCGGAUUGCAUGAGGCCGUCAAAAGUUUACUGACGGGUUUUGAGGUAUGUUAGAUAAUGUACACUUUUGUCAGUUGCGCAUAAAUAAGAUGCGCCCUGUGUAGAUAGUAGCCCCUGAGACUCUACGUGUUGUCAAGAAAUGACGGCACGUUGAGGAUCAUAAUCCCAGGUCUAAGAUGUCGCCUUUGAAUGUAGGUGGCGAGGUGUCCGGAAUCAAGCCGGACUAAUGAUUUGGCCGAACUAAAGCGGCAACUGGACGUGCCAGAUGCCGACAUCGUGCUUGUCAACAAGCGUCUUGAUGAGGCUCAAUGUAUGUAAUUCUUCGGGCGGCAUUAGGUAAGAGGAGCUUCAUGCCAGUGCCUUACAACAUGUGUGCUUGAUGCAGAUGGUACGACCGCCGUGGAGAAUCUUAGGGCAGAACUUGCCCGAGCUAAGGAGCAAGCCAGAAAAAGCGAUGCGGCUGCCAAGAAGGCCCUUGAAGAGCUGAGAGCCGAACAGGCUGCUCACUGCCGAAGCAAAGAGGAGAUGGCCGAGAUGGCCGAGAAGUUAAAGAGCGCUGCAGACCAUUGCGAACUUCUUGAGAAAGAAGACCAGGCGAAACAGACGGACUUAGAGAAGGCCGUUGCCGAUGCCAAGGAUGCUCGCUCUGCGAUGAGAGCUGCGAAAGAGGAGCUGCGUCAGGCCGAACAGAUUGCGGCUGGAAAGCCCUUUAUGCUGGGGAGGUAGUUUUGUGAUCCGAAGUUUGCUCCGUUGGACCGGAUGUGGAGUGUGAAGGACACCUAUCUGGACUUGGCAACAAGUGCCGCUGAUGCGACCGAACACUUUUGAGAUCAGAAAGAUUGCGAAGUGGAAAAGAUUUUCUGGUCGCAGUUUCGUAAUCCAGAGCGUCCACUGGCAGUGGAUGAUCGUUUGGCUCAGUGGGCCGAAAUGAAUAGGUUGUCCGGACUCGUCAUGAAGUACGUCAUGGAUCAUCUGUGGCCGGGGAGAUCGGAGCCGAAGAGUUAUUUCAGCUUGGUGCAGCAAUUCCUUGACGCGGUGCCGCGUAUAAAUGCAAUUAAGAGGUCAGCAUGCAUAGAGGGAGUUAGGAUGGCUCUAGCCCGUGUUAAGACAUACUAGGCAGAGAUGGAGACCACCGUUGUUGCGUCUCGAGAUUCGGACCAAAGCCGAGUACCUUCCGAGCACUAUUUUCAGGAAGUUCUUGAAGGCACUCGUGUAAUAGAGACGCAGUGCCCGAAAGAUGCUAUGUUAUGAUAGCAUAUGUAAUUAUAAAGUAAUAUUUUGAUAAACUGUAGUGGCUUAUUUUAUACUUGUGCCUCCAAGUAUUGUAAACACCUUCUAAUCGGCCGUUUAUAUCUAUGUAUGUAUAGAAUCUGAAAGAUGGCAGUCGUUGGCUUCAGCGCCCACGCACAUAGUGCGGGGGUGCUCGCGGAAGACGCAUUUUCACACUUAACCCAACAUCUUGGUCCUACAAAGGAGGUGAUAGCGCAGCGGGCCAGGCAACCGGACUAUAAUGCUUUAACACUUUCACUUGGCCAUAGGAGUUUGAAAAUGAGACUCUUUAGGUAGCUCCUUGGUGGCCACUGUGCUCGUCCGAAUUCGGGGCGCGUAUGUGCCUGACCGGGAAGCGGUCCUUCGUCAAAGCGGAGGAAUCCGAUAGAUUCCGAUCGAUCAUCGAGUGGCUGACCAGUCUCACGCUACAUCAUGACAGUCAGUUUUCGGCUUUCUCUACUUAGGUGCUCGGCCUGGCCGAACCGGGGGCACAAUCGCAGUAGUUCUCCUGGUGCUACCUUAGCCGAUAGAGCGGAACGUAAGGUAGCCGAACUCAGGAGCCGGGCAACCCAACAUUUGACCAAAGACAUGAUUCGGAGCUGAUGCAUAUAAUGCCAAAACUCACGACGCCAAACACUCCCUAAGGUGUUCGGUCUUUAUGAGUGCGGGCCAAACAACACUCUUUAUUGAAAAAGCCCCUAGUGUCCAGGUACGUGCAAAAAUUCUAACGUGGCCACAUGCCAAGACGCCAGCCUCCUCCUUGGUUAUAUUAGAAAGGAAAAGCAGGGGAUGUGUAGCAACAAGAGACAGUAAAAAAGGUUUACGUAGGGUCUUAAUCUGAAAAGAAUCCUUUAGGACGGGUCCCUACUGCACGUCUGCGCCUGUGUCUCCGUUGUGCCGUAUCCUGGACGGGCGCCGCACGACGUUCAUCAGUAAAAGAGAUGAACUGAGUUCAAAACGAGUCGUGCCGAAAAAGUUUAAAAUAAGCAAAGUAUAAAGUAAGAUAUGUAAGUUUGAGCUUUAUUAUCUCUUAUUGUAUAUGCGUGGAGCCCCUUGUGCGGGGGUAUAUGGCUUCUAGGCCUGCAUCAAUGAUGAUUUUGCACCGAACUCGUCUAUCCACGUUCGUGGUCUUUAAAUGACCUAUUUUGAAGUUUUUUGGCCGGUGAGGCCAUUUUGCUGUGGGGCUGUUGAAGCGGCCGCACUAUCCUCCGCUUGGGGAGGCGCACUUUAGUGCUUCCCCAACAAAGAGAUGAUGCCCCGCGGACCGGGCAUCUUAAGCGUAAGAGAUGCAUAAUGUGGUAUUGCGUUAAAUCGAGCAAAAGCUUCUCGUCCCAGUAGUGCUUGAUAGCGACUUGAGAACGGGACGACGUGGAAGGUCAGCUUUUCGCGGCGUUGGUUAUCGGCAGAGCCGAAUGUGACUGUGAGCCGGAGAAAACCCGUACAAUGGGUGUUCGGACCAGGUAUUACCCCUUGAAAGGAGGUUUUGCUAUGGCGGAUUCUUGCUGGGUGUAUCCCCAUGUGCUGUAUUGUAUCCUGAUAUAUCAGGUUUAGUCCGGUGCCGCCGUCCAUAAGGACAUUUGAAAACUUAAGUCCGCCAAUUAUUGCAUCAAGUAUCAAGGCGGUCCAUCCUACAUUCUUGAUAUUCCUAGAAUAAUCUAGCUGAUCGAAGGUGAUCGGUUUUGACAACCAGUGGCAGGAUCCUUUGGGGAUGGGCCGUGUGGUGCGUACCUUUACGGGCACCGCAUGUUUUGUUAUGUGAAGUGAGUUCACUGUUUUUACUUCUUGUGGGAAGUUCUUUUGUUUCCUGGUGCUCUACUGUUGGGGUUCGUCCUCGUCUUCGCUUUGUGUGUCGAGCCCCUUGUGUUCGACAUUGAGUCUGCCGGAUUGUUUGAAGACCCAACAGUCUCUGUGGGUAUGGUUAGCAGGCUUCCCAGGAGUACUCUGUAUCUGACAUAUCCUGUCCAGGAUUUUAUUUAAGUUGGAUGGAUCUUCCCUGUUAUCCUGGGUAGGCGAUUUUUCCUGAUUUUGUCGUGAGCCUUUGAAUCCGGCAUUGACUGCCGUGCUCUUCGGACUUUUGUCCUUAGUCCAGCGACGGUCCUUGUUGCGUCACGGUCUUCCGUUUCCAUCCCUGGUUUCGGAUGUACUUGGGUCGCUGGGGCUGCACCUUGCCAACCAGCUAUCCUCCCCUACACAAAAGCGGGUCAUGAGGCUUGUUAGUGCGGCCAUUGUUCUUGGUUUUUCUUGGCCGAGGUGUCUGGCGAGCCAUUCGUCUCGGACGUUAUGUCUGAAAGCUGCUAAGGCUUCGGCGUCCGGACAGUCGACUAUCUGAUUCUUUUUAGUGAGGAAUCUAUUCCAGAACUGGUGAGCUGAUUCUCCGGGUUGUUGAGUUAUGUGACUAAGAUCGUCUGCAUCCGGAGGGCGGACAUAGGUCCCUUGAAAGUUUUCUCGGAAAGCAUCCUCGAGGUCUUCCUAGCUUCCAAUUGAGUUUUCGGGGAGGCUUUUAAGCCAAUGCCGGGCUGGCCCUUUAAGCUUAAGGGGUAGAUAUUUUAUGGCGUGGAGAUCAUCUCCUCUAGCCAUGUGUAUGUGGAGGAUAUAAUCCUCGAUCCAGACUCCAGGGUCUGUUGUUCCAUCGUAUGCCUCUAUGUUUACGGGUUUGAAUCCCUCGGGGAAUUCAUAGUCCAGGACCUCAUCGGUGAAACAUAGGGGGUGUGCGGCACCCCUGUAUUUGGGUAUGCCGGAUUCUGAUGAUGGCUUCGUAGCGUUGCUUAUGAGGGCUUGCUUUCUUGGCCCAUAAAUGGACCUGACUGGGCCAUGAUGCGAAUCCUUAAGAGGGUCGCAUGCCGAUUUAGGUGCGGCGCCGCUUGUCGCUUUAUGGGGUCGUCUAUCCGACCGUGCGGCUUUUUCAUUUUUUGAAUGCGAGGGCUCUGAGGCCUCCUCGUCGAAUUCAGGCAGUAGCUUUCUUUUCGGAUAGCUUUUAGUGCGGCGACUAUCGCCGUACAUAUCUGUGGCAUUGAUUACCUUGCUCCAUCUGAUCUGGAGUGCAUCUUCCGCUGUUUUUAGCUUCCGCUUCUGCUUUUUUAGGCUCCGUGCAGUUGCAACGAGCCUCUCAUGGAGAUUCUUCUGUUCCAUAGGUUUAUUUGGCUUGAGGUCGUUCGGAAUGCCGUUUUCGCCGGGGGAGGGAUGUUCAGUUUUUCUAUCUGUGUUGCCCUGUUCGGACGGUUGCUCUAAGGCCUGUUCAUCGUCGACCGGCUCGUCCUACUCUAUGGCUGGGUUUUUGUCGAGGCGGGGCUUGGGCCGGCGUUUGCGCCGACGCCUUGAUUGCUUUUCGGGGGGUCGAUCUCUCGUCCUAUCCCCUUUCUCCUCGUUGUCGCUUCCCUUGGGGGUGUCCACCAUGUACACAUCGUGAGAUGGGGUGGCUGUCCAAUGCCCUAUGGGCGUUGGUUCGUCGAUAUGUCCUCCAUCGCCAUCCAUGCUGUCGAUGUCUUCGGAGCCGAAGUCGGGCACGUCGUUUAAAUUGUCGGCAGUGGCUACCAAGUGGGUGGUGGGUGGGUUUUGAAUUUCCUCACUGUCUGUAUCCCACCCUUGCUGACCGUAGUCCGGCCAGGGCUCUCCUGAUAAAGAGAGAGACUUAAGAGAAUUCAGGAUGUCGCAAAGAGGCGAAUGCUGAAAGAUGUCCGCUGCGGUGAACUCCAUUACCGGCGCCCAAUCGGAUUCAAUUGGCAGGGGCGCAGGGGGCUCGGAGUUCGGAGAGGAAUCCGGCUCCUUGGAGUCACGGGCCAUGCGGAGUGCGGGGCUGGAGUUCGGCUCGAUCGCCUCUGAGAUCGCAGCCCCUGAGGCAGCGUCCAACCGCUGAUCCUCGAUCGGUGCAGUAGGUUCUUAAUCAAUGGUCAAAACCGAUGCGUGUGCGGCCUCCACAGCGCUGUUCGGCGGCAGAGCUAUAUCAUGCCCAUCGAGACAGUGCGGCACGCUUGGCUGUGGCUCGAAUCCGUCGAAGAUCAAGUCUUCGCGGAUGUCAGCCGUAUAGUUUAGGCUUCCAAACCUGACCUGAUGGCCAGGGGCGUAGCUUUCGAUCUGCUCAAGGUGGCCAAGCGAAAUGGCCCGCAGAGCGAAGCUGCUGAAGACGAAGAUCUGUCCGGGGAGAAAAGUCUCACCCUGGACUGCAUCGUUGUUGAUGAUCGAAGGAGCCAUCGGGCCUAAAGGCGACGACACAGAGGAACUCUCAAUGAAAGCACCAAUGUCGGUGUCAAAACCGACGGAUCUCGGGUAGGGGGUCCCAAACUGUGCGUCUAGGCCGGAUGGUAACAGGAGACAGGGGACACUUUGUUUUACCCAGGUUCGGGCCCUCUCGAUGGAGGUGCAACCCUACUCCUGCUUGAUUAAUAUUGAUGAUAUGGGUAGUACAAGAGUAGAUCUACCACGAGAUCAAGGAGGCUAAACCCUAGAAGCUAGCCUAUGGUAUGAUUGUGUAUGGAGUUGAUUCUCUACGGACUACAACCCUCCGGUUUAUAUAGACACCGGAUAGGGUUAGGGUUACACAGACUCGGUUACAAUGGUAGGAGAUCUUUGAAUAUCGCACCGCCAAGCUUGCCUUCCACGCCAAGGAAAGUCCCCUCCGGACACGGGACGAAGUCUUCAAUCUUGUAUCUUCAUAGUCCAGGAGUCCGGCUGAAGGUAUAGUCCGGCUAUCCGAACACCCCCUAAUCCAGGACUCCCUCAGGUCUCAUGUAGCCGACGCGGAAGAGGCGGCAUGUCCGUUCAACAGAAGAUGUUGGGGCCGAGCGAGCCUACUACCGCACACCUCGAUGAGCCCACCCUUCUACUCUGCAAAUCCUGUUGCCACUGCACAUGAUGGACAAGAGACAUAACACGAUAAUGUUGAUCAAAUCGAAGGAUAAAUCAUGUCUAGGAACAAAGAAGGAGCUUAGAUAGCUCACAUUUCAUGUCCUGGAAAUCAUGUCGAGGUACACCGAACACCACCUAUCAAUGCUCAGCAGCUGCACCUUGAUACACAGAGUGAAAAAAAAGAGGUCAAUCACCUCCACAAA
Molecule: long non-coding RNA, 9556 nt
Filed under: Triticum aestivum (bread wheat)
Lineage: Eukaryota; Viridiplantae; Streptophyta; Magnoliopsida; Poales; Poaceae
Description: long non-coding RNA (TAES_LNC019919)
Source: RNAcentral